UACGUAGGGGGCAAGCGUUGUCCGGAUUUACUGGGUGUAAAGGGCGCGCAGGCGGAUUAGCAAGUCAGAGGUGAAAUCCUACAGCUUAACUGUAGAACUGCCUUUGAAACUGUUAAUCUUGAGUACGGAAGAGAGAAGCGGAAUUCCAGGUGUAGUGGUGAAAUACGUAGAUAUCUGGAAGAACACCAGUUGCGAAGGCGGCUUCUUGGUCCGUUACUGACGCUGAGGCGCGAAAGCGUGGGGAGCAGACAGG
RNAcentral lists this unclassified non-coding RNA (253 nucleotides) under uncultured Ignavibacteriaceae bacterium. RNAcentral's name for it is "contains 16S-23S intergenic spacer region". It matches the Rfam family "Bacterial small subunit ribosomal RNA", at positions 524 to 776 of the family's 1533-position model. Lineage: Bacteria; Pseudomonadati; Ignavibacteriota; Ignavibacteria; Ignavibacteriales; Ignavibacteriaceae. The record is from RNAcentral.